AAACGACGCAUUCGCUCGGUCUCAUUCUUCCGCCUCGCUCCUCUGAGAAGACCCUGUGUCCUGAAUACUUUUGCAAAGGCGGGAGACAGCAGGAAUUUGGAGCAUAUCUGGACUCAAGCAGUUAGGAUGUGUCCAAGGAACCUGUUCAAUACAUUUGAUCUCAAAGGUUUCUCAAGAAGCUGGAUUAAGAUGUAUGGAUAUGCCAUCAGCUGAGCAUGCUGAAGAACUGCAUGAACUCAAUCCUAUCUGUUCUUUUACUCCAGUGACUGGGUAUAUUGUCAGCUGUCUGAAUGGUUUUCUGGGUCUGACCUGUGACCUGCCCUUAACUUAUCACCAAUGAGUAUGUAAAGCGCUGAAGGCUUUGUAGUACCAUGUGACUUCAGAUACAACAUGAGUUUUUACAGUUCUUUUACUCUACUGACUGACUGUGGGUAGAUCAGCUGUCUGAAUGCAGUUGUCCUGGAGACUUUUGCAAAGGUGGCAGACAGCAGGAAUCUGGAGCGUAUCUGAACUGAAGCAGUUACGAUGUGUCCAAGGAAUGUGUAAAGCAGUUGAACUGAAAGGUUUCUCAAGAAGCUGGAUCAAGAUGUAUGGAUAUGCCAUCAGCUGAGCAUGCUGGGGAACUCUAUCAUGAACUCAAUCAGUGCUAUCUGUUCUUUUACUCUACUGACUGGGUUUAUCAUCAGCUGUCUGAAUGGUUUUCUGGGUCUGAUGCCCUGUGACCUGCUGAUAACGCAUCAGCCAUGAGAAUGUCUGAUGCCCUGUGACCUGCUGAUAACGCAUCAGCCAUGAGAAUGUGUCUGCUCAUUGACUGGUAAAGCGGUGAUGGCUUUGUAGUACCAUGUGGAUUUGGAUACGACAUGAGAUUUUACAGGUGUUCAAGAUGAUCCAGUAUUGCUUUGUGAAAUCAUCAAAUCCGAAUGAAUGGUGUUGACUACAUUGCAGUUGUCUUCUGAAUUGCCAUUUUUACAGGAGCUCAAGAUCAUCUUGGAUUGCUCUGGGGAAUGAAGAAUGGCAAUCUACAUUGGUGUUCUCCUGAAUUGUUCCAGAGCUUCUGUUGAUGCUGUUUCUUUUGAUGUUCAAUCUUUUUUAAGUUUGUAAAGUGUCAUUACUUCAAUAAAGUGGUACUAAAACCAA
Pimephales promelas (fathead minnow) is the source of this 1137-nucleotide non-coding RNA. The record is from RefSeq and is a predicted model, not a curated record. Lineage: Eukaryota; Metazoa; Chordata; Actinopteri; Cypriniformes; Leuciscidae.